This 400-nucleotide ribosomal RNA is filed under the name uncultured bacterium. RNAcentral describes it as "bacterial SSU rRNA". It matches the Rfam family "Bacterial small subunit ribosomal RNA", at positions 355 to 772 of the family's 1533-position model. The record is from RNAcentral.
UGGGGAAUAUUGGACAAUGGGCGCAAGCCUGAUCCAGCAAUACCACGUGAGUGAUGAAGGCCUUCGGGUUGUAAAACUCUUUUAGUAGGGAAGAUAAUGACGGUACCUACAGAAAAAGCACCGGCUAACUUCGUGCCAGCAGCCGCGGUAAUACGAAGGGUGCUAGCGUUGUUCGGAAUCAUUGGGCGUAAAGCGUGCGUAGGCGGUUUGGUAAGUCGACUGUGAAAUCCCAGAGCUUAACUUUGGAAUUGCAUUCGAAACUACCUCACUAGAGUAUGGCGGGGGAUAGUGGAAUUCCUAGUGUAGGGGUGAAAUCCGUAGAUAUUAGGAGGAACACCAGUGGCGAAAGCGGCUAUCUACACCAUUACUGACGCUAAGGCACGAAAGCGUGGGGAGCAAA